GACGAACGCUGGCGGCGUGCUUAACACAUGCAAGUCGAACGGAAAGGCCCUGCUUUUGUGGUACUCUAGUGGGGAACGGGGGAGUAACACACGUGUGUACUGCCCUCCUCUUCGUGAUAAACUUUGGAAGCAGGGUGGAUUACAGGAUAGAAAACAUCUUGAUUCAGGGGGUUGGAUAGUUUUUUCGGGGUAGGAUGAGGUCGCGGGCUAUCAGCUCGUUGGUGGGGUGAUGGCCUACCAAGGCGGCGACGGGUAGCCGGCCUGCGAGGGUGUACGGCCACAUUGGGACUGAGAGACGGCACAGACUCGGACGGGAGGCAGCAGUGGGGAAGAUUGAACAAGGGGCGCAAGGCUGAUGAAGCGAGGCUGCGUGGGGGAUGAAGGCCUUCGGGCUGUAAAAUCAUUUCGCUAGGGACGAAGCUUUUUGUGACGGUACCUAGAUAGGAAGCAACGGCUAACUACGUG
RNAcentral lists this ribosomal RNA (465 nucleotides) under uncultured bacterium. RNAcentral describes it as "partial 16S ribosomal RNA". It matches the Rfam family "Bacterial small subunit ribosomal RNA", at positions 28 to 507 of the family's 1533-position model. The record is from RNAcentral.